CAGUUUAUUUGGCUGUGUGCAGUAGAGGAAGAGCGUGACACGAGAUGCGCCCUGUAGCUAAGGCUUCAGUUUGCACCUUUGAACCCCACGGAUCUCCUGACCCCUCUGCAUCUAUCUUGAGUGCUGGGAUUACAGUUCUAGGAAAGAAACCACAAGACUGCUGAGACCUGGAAAGGGUGCCACUGUUGAAAAUUGGGAGAAAGAGAAGGUGUGGUCUUGGAAGGAUGACUCCAUCAUCUUGAAAGUUUAUCUCCCAACCACUUUCCAGAAGGACUCAUGGCUAUACCAGAAGGAAAAUGAGGAAAGGGGGCUUGUUUCUUUUCCUUGAUAAUACACACUUCCCACGGCCAACUUACAAAUUGAGACAAUGAAUUUUAUAAUAACAAAAGACGGUAAGAUGUAUUUCAUUAUUUUGGUACCAAGCAAAACUGGAAAGCAGGCACAUGGCAAUCCCUUUUCAAAGAGCAAAGAAAAGAGGAAGAAGAUUCCCAGAGUCAUUGUUACCAUCAUCAGCUUGGCUCAAAAAGAAACAUAGAGACGAGAUGUUUGAGGAGGUUUGACCAUGAGAUGAGAGGCAAAACUGUAAAUUAAUAUAAUAAGAAGCACAUUUUCAUAAAUGGUAAAACCAAUAAUCGUAUUGUAAAAUAUGUGACGAAUUAGCUGUGUGUACAAGGAUCAAAGCAAUGAUGUGAAUAGAAGUAGGCAAUAUACAGAAAUCUGGGGUUAACUCCAAAUGUAGAUCCAUUGAAGUAUUUGGAGGAUGCAGUUUGUUUUGUCUGUUUUGUUUUGUUUUGUAAUAAAGUAGUUUCAAAUAAACUGAUACUAAAAGAAGACGUGACUGACUCUAGUGAUUGACUGAUCCAGAAAGUCACGUGCCACUCCUUGGCUGUAGAUCUCCUUUACAAAAUUCAGAUUCAUGUCUCCCCGAGGAGCUGGAAAUAAAGAAGAUUAAAAAAGAAGUGAGAAUUAUAACCCUACAGAUCAAGGAAAGGGUAUUUCCAGUCAUAAAUAUGAGCGGGGGAAAUGUCAACGCUUGAAAUUAAAUAUAACUUUCCUAGUAAAUGUAAUAUGACAGUAAAUGUAAUAUAUCUACUGAUUAGGGGAACUUUAAAAAAAAAGAAAUCUGAGAAGGGCUAGAAAAAAAAUUAUCGGGUCAGUUACUGGUGCAAGAAAACAAAUCUCCAUAAAGUUAGCAUGUUAAAUCCACCACAGUGUUAUUGUUUCUCAUGAUUUGUACUUGUUAGGAACACAUUAGUAGUGUGACUUGGCAGACGUGUCUCCAAGAAGGUAGAGUUGUAGCACGUAGGGUCCAUCUAAGCUUUUCUCUCUUCUUGUAGGGUUGCACAGCUUUUCUUUUCAGUCUCAUAACAUGAGGAAAUGAGGCACUCCUCAGAGUGCAAUAAUCCCAAAGCUGUGUGUUGAGUCUCACCACAGGUCAAGACUUCAGAAUGGGACAAAAGUGAAGCCAAGUCUUCUUCUAUGUCCUUGCCUGAAAGGAUAUCCAAUGUCACUUCUGCCAAGAUUUGUUUGACGUACGUUCAACAGUGCUGGAAGCCUUUUGCAUUUCAAGAACAUGGGCUACAAUUCUUGAUGGAAGAAGAUGGCAAACGUGUGCGGGAAUGUCAGGUGGGGUAUUGUGCAGUGCAGUGGAAAGGUCGGAUGGGGUAGCAGGUAGCACUGAGAUCAACUUCAAAGGUACAGUCUACUGGAAACCUCCUGCUAGACUGUAGACUCGACUACAGCAGCGAUAAAGACAAUAGAACAAUCAUCGGAAGAAGAGUGUGUCUCGUUUAAUCCUACCUUCCCCUUCUAGUUUUCAAAACUGAGCUUCAGAUGGCUUUCUUAGCAUACUCAGGAGCCUGCUGCAAAUACCACAGCCAGAAGACACAGCUCUAUUUCCAAUUCCAGUUGCUUUCAGCCGCACUUGGCAUCCUCUUGAAACAAGUUCAUCACUGAAGUCUCAUGGUCAUGAAGAAAGGUCUAUUACCCAGCAGCACUUUUGAGUUGGAACUCAGCACUACACUCGUCUAAAAAAAAGAAGUGGGAAAUUGGAAAUGUUCAGCGCAGUCCUACAAGGUCUUUACCAGUUUGUAUCUUCUCUCUGCACUUCUACAUGGUGAAGUUUGCCUUUAUCAGCCUCGUUUCCCGUCCUAUAUCAGUUGCACCCUUUUUGGUUUAACUUCGAUUGGUCUAACCACAGCUUCUCUGACACUUAAUAGUUGGCCAACUCUCCAAUUUAAAGAAGAAAAUACCAUCAAGCGAGACUUCUUUCAAACUGGCUCCUUUCCGUAUCUGUGUGGACUUAAGCCUUUCUUUUCUCUUGUCACCCUGUCUCACAUGUGUCCAGAGAUAAGCCCCUCCCUUUGCACAUUGGAUUCCCACCCUCUUCCUGUCUGUUCUGAGAACUUUCAUUCUCAAUUAUAUCCACUUCUCUCACCUCAGACCUCUGUCUUCUGUUGGCUCUUCCCCUUCCUUCUAAAAACAAUUUUACAUUCCUUAUCCUAAAAAAAAUAAUCCCUCUCCAGUCUGCUCUCCACACACUUAAACUGUUUGCCUUCCCUGCUCCCCUUCAACUGGAAAAGGCUUAUCAAAACAGUUUACACUGGACAAAUUCACCCUGUUAUCUCCAACUGGCUCCAUGACUCAUUUUGGUCUGAUUUCAGCUUCCCAAUCUCUUCAAGUUGCUUUCUUAAAUGAACCAGUCCUGCGUCCAGCUCUGAAACCGGGGUGUAGGCAGCUGCAAACUCACCCCUUUCUGUAGAUGCCAUUCCCAUAGCAUUCUUCCCAGUUGGUAAUAGCUAGGAAUAAAGAGCUUAAUAGAUCAGUUCACCAGUUCUUAAUUAGAAGUAUUAAAUAGUGUAUCUUAAUGAAACACUUGGAACAGAAAGAAGAACAUGUACUUCUCUCUGAAGUGGCUUCCAGAGCGUACAUUGUGUUUAUAUUAAUCUCCACCUCUUCCACACAGUCAAGUAUUUUUCUCUUAAUGUAUGGUAAUGUCAAGUUCUGUCAGAGGGUAAGAAAUAGUAGGAAAAAUUGUAAUAGCUUAGUUUGUCCUAAACGUCUUUAGAAUUAACAGUUAUCUCCUGCUGCUGUUGGAUUAUCCAUCUACUUAUGGAAUGACACUUUUGUUGCUUCCAAGUUUUGUCAGUUAUGAAUAAGGCUCCAAUAAAAAAUAUUGUUAUGAAGGUUUUUA
This is a long non-coding RNA of Mesocricetus auratus (golden hamster), 3193 nucleotides long. RefSeq lists it as uncharacterized. The record is from RefSeq and is a predicted model, not a curated record. The transcript has 2 exons. Lineage: Eukaryota; Metazoa; Chordata; Mammalia; Rodentia; Cricetidae.